UACGUAGGGUGCAAGCGUUAAUCGGAAUUACUGGGCGUAAAGCGUGCGCAGGCGGUUUUGUAAGUUUGUCGUGAAAGCCCCGGGCUCAACCUGGGAAUGGCGAUGAAGACUGCAAGGCUUGAAUCUGGCAGAGGGGGGUAGAAUUCCACGUGUAGCAGUGAAAUGCGUAGAGAUGUGGAGGAACACCGAUGGCGAAGGCAGCCCCCUGGGUCAAGAUUGACGCUCAUGCACGAAAGCGUGGGGAGCAAACGGG
RNAcentral lists this ribosomal RNA (253 nucleotides) under uncultured bacterium. RNAcentral's name for it is "partial 16S ribosomal RNA". It matches the Rfam family "Bacterial small subunit ribosomal RNA", at positions 524 to 776 of the family's 1533-position model. The record is from RNAcentral.